Molecule: long non-coding RNA, 469 nt
Organism: Melospiza melodia melodia
Lineage: Eukaryota; Metazoa; Chordata; Aves; Passeriformes; Passerellidae
Exons: 2
Source: RefSeq, a predicted model, not a curated record
AGCCUCACACUGACAGUGGUUUCAGCUGCAGUGGGUUCUUGGAAUCCCUGACUUCCCACUGGUGACAUCCAUUGCCAACGAUGCCAACAGCAAGCCCGCACCCUGCCUGUCCAUGUCUGGUACCUCCCAACAAACCCAGUGUGCAGUGACACAUGCUGAUGAGCAAAUGGAGAAAAAAGGCCCAGAGAGCAGGAAUGCCAACUUGUCCCUGGUGCAGCCAGCAGUGCCUGCCAGCUCCCUGCUCAGCGCAGGAAUGGCCAGAGGGCUGGGAUGGAUGUGCUGGUAAUGCAACACGUGGACUGUUUGUUUGGAGAACUCAAAUGAAAGCAGGCAGCGUGAUCAAGAUAAAGCUUUUAAUGAUGUUUGCCUUAUUAUAGUUAUGAAUGCUCUCUAUUGAUUCUCCUCCUCAUUUACCCAAAUUGCUAAGUUGUUUUCAACUUCUUCCUGCAAUUAACAUGAAUGAAGCUGA